Molecule: ribosomal RNA, 253 nt
Filed under: uncultured bacterium
Lineage: Bacteria
Description: partial 16S ribosomal RNA
Rfam family: Bacterial small subunit ribosomal RNA
Source: RNAcentral
UACAGAGACUGCGAGCGUUAUUCGGAUUCACUGGGCGUAAAGGGUGCGUAGGCGGUCGGGUAAGUCAGAUGUGAAAUCUCACAGCUUAACUGUGAAACUGCAUUGGAUACUAUCCGGCUCGAGGAAUGGAGGGGAGACUGGAAUACUUGGUGUAGCAGUGAAAUGCGUAGAUAUCAAGUGGAACACCAGUGGCGAAGGCGAGUCUCUGGACAUUUCCUGACGCUGAGGCACGAAAGCCAGGGGAGCAAACGGG